AAUGAAGUGCCUGAUUAAAGGAUUAUCUUGAUAGGGUAAAUUAAGUAAAAUUAAUUUUUACCUUCAUUA
Molecule: transfer RNA, 69 nt
Filed under: Panorpa communis
Lineage: Eukaryota; Metazoa; Arthropoda; Insecta; Mecoptera; Panorpidae
Also listed under: 1 other name
Description: tRNA-Ile
Source: RNAcentral